GAGCGAACAGAGAAGGAGCUUGCUCCUUUGACGUUAGCGGCGGACGGGUGAGUAACACGUGGGCAACCUACCUUAUAGUUUGGGAUAACUCCGGGAAACCGGGGCUAAUACCGAAUAAUCUAUUUUACUUCAUGGUGAAAUACUGAAAGACGGUUUCGGCUGUCGCUAUAAGAUGGGCCCGCGGCGCAUUAGCUAGUUGGUGAGGUAACGGCUCACCAAGGCGACGAUGCGUAGCCGACCUGAGAGGGUGAUCGGCCACACUGGGACUGAGACACGGCCCAGACUCCUACGGGAGGCAGCAGUAGGGAAUCUUCCACAAUGGGCGAAAGCCUGAUGGAGCAACGCCGCGUGAGUGAAGAAGGUUUUCGGAUCGUAAAACUCUGUUGUAAGGGAAGAACAAGUACAGUAGUAACUGGCUGUACCUUGACGGUACCUUAUUAGAAAGCCACGGCUAACUACGUGCCAGCAGCCGCGGUAAUACGUAGGUGGCAAGCGUUGUCCGGAAUUAUUGGGCGUAAAGCGCGCGCAGGCGGUCCUUUAAGUCUGAUGUGAAAGCCCACGGCUCAACCGUGGAGGGUCAUUGGAAACUGGGGGACUUGAGUGCAGAAGAGGAAAGUGGAAUUCCAAGUGUAGCGGUGAAAUGCGUAGAGAUUUGGAGGAACACCAGUGGC
Molecule: ribosomal RNA, 671 nt
Filed under: Lysinibacillus sp. R42
Lineage: Bacteria; Bacillati; Bacillota; Bacilli; Caryophanales; Bacillaceae
Description: bacterial SSU rRNA
Rfam family: Bacterial small subunit ribosomal RNA
Source: RNAcentral